GGGGGCGACUGGUUUCGACAGGGUGGUCCUGAGGUGGGCAGCAGGCCGUGGUCUCCUCGCCACGUUAAACAGGGGUACCGUCAAAUUGAAUUGACGACAACUCUUUCCAGGGCUCUUACGCCCUCGCCGCUUAAUUAAUUAGCGGCCGUCGAAGCGGGGUUUCUCCCGUCCCCGCGGAGACGUCAUCUUAGGGAGACGCUCGCGCGGACGUCGUUGGUAUGCCGCGCGCUAAGACCGAACCAACUGGGGCGCCGAACGCGGGUCACCGAGUGUGACGCGCCCGAGACCUAAUCGGCGACUGAGCCUGGAGACACCUGCCAGGGGAUUGCUUUGGACCGGAGUUCGAUUCUCCGCGCCUCCACCA
RNAcentral lists this transfer-messenger RNA (364 nucleotides) under Atopobiaceae. Its description in RNAcentral is "CAKVON01 sp934792625 Standard tmRNA". It matches the Rfam family "transfer-messenger RNA". Rfam says of the family: Bacterial tmRNA, also known as 10Sa RNA or SsrA, is named for its dual tRNA and mRNA-like properties. Its role is to liberate the mRNA from a stalled ribosome. Lineage: Bacteria; Bacillati; Actinomycetota; Coriobacteriia; Coriobacteriales. RNAcentral also lists the same sequence under 1 other name. The record is from RNAcentral.